GUGGGGAAUAUUGGACAAUGGGCGAAAGCCUGAUCCAGCCAUGCCGCGUGUGUGAAGAAGGUCUUCGGAUUGUAAAGCACUUUAAGUUGGGAGGAAGGGCAGUAAGUUAAUACCUUGCUGUUUUGACGUUACCAACAGAAUAAGCACCGGCUAACUUCGUGCCAGCAGCCGCGGUAAUACGAAGGGUGCAAGCGUUAAUCGGAAUUACUGGGCGUAAAGCGCGCGUAGGUGGUUUUGUAAGUUGGAGGUGAAAUCCCCGGGCUCAACCUGGGAACUGCCUCCAAAACUUCAUGACUAGAGGACGGUAGAGGGUAGUGGAAUUUCCUGUGUAGCGGUGAAAUGCGUAGAUAUAGGAAGGAACACCAGUGGCGAAGGCGACUACCUGGACUGAUACUGACACUGAGGUGCGAAAGCGUGGGGAGCAAACAGGAUUAGAAACCCGGGUAGUCC
RNAcentral lists this ribosomal RNA (450 nucleotides) under uncultured bacterium. RNAcentral's name for it is "bacterial SSU rRNA". It matches the Rfam family "Bacterial small subunit ribosomal RNA", at positions 354 to 796 of the family's 1533-position model. The record is from RNAcentral.